This is an RNA transcript of Nicotiana attenuata, 899 nucleotides long. RefSeq lists it as uncharacterized. Lineage: Eukaryota; Viridiplantae; Streptophyta; Magnoliopsida; Solanales; Solanaceae. The transcript is spliced from 3 exons. The record is from RefSeq and is a predicted model, not a curated record.
CGAGGGUCUUGUACGCACUUGACCGAAACUGUUAGUGAGGAUUUUUCGCAAUACUUGAUCCAAAGUACUGAAGUAGUCCAAACUGAGGGAAAGUAGUUCAUACGGGAAAAUCUUCAUUUCUAGGGUUAGGGUUUCAGAUCUGAGCAAAAUCAUUGGGGAAAGGAUAUGGCGAUGAGAAACUUUUACAACGAGAUCAAGGGCAUGAGAGUGAAGGAGGUGGGGACUUACCUCAAGCCGAUGUUCUCCGUGGGUUACGCGAAGAGUGCUGUGAAGAGGGGAUUGGAUAAUUACCAUGCCAAGUACAUCCAAACCAGCUCCGUUGAUCCCGUCUACCACGUCUGCUUCGGAGGCAUGGCUUUCUCCUACCUCGUCGCCCUCCCCGAAGAGCGUCGCCACCUUGAACACAAGCAACACGCCAAACAUUGAUUCUCCCGAGGCUAUACUUUUUUAUUUUAUUUUAUAAUGAAGAAUAUAUUCUUCACAGUAGCAUCAGGAUGAUUUACAAGUUACCAAAAUGUUAAGAGUCCCCCAAACAUCUUUUCAGCUUACCGAGGACAUGUCCAUUGACAGGAGGGUGUGGAGGUCGAGGAUUAGGGUCUCUUGGGAGUCGAAGUUAGAUGGUUCAGCGAAGGACUAGCAUUGGUGUUUGUCGGCUGCUUUCUGUUUCCUUUUCCUAAUGUGUGCAAAAUUUGGUUCAUUUAGAUUGAUGAAAAUAAAAUUUGUCGUACUACAAGUUCCUAACGUGUAUGCGUUUAUACUUAGUAUUGUCAUGCCUGGAAUAGGCAAAACUGGUUUUGGGUUGUGUUGCGCCCGUUUUAAGGACUGGAUGUAAAGAUUUUUGCUGCGUCCCAAUAUCUACAGCAUGUUAUCUGAUAAUCUCAUUAUGUUGUUACCUUGCU